Non-coding RNA from Pelodiscus sinensis (Chinese soft-shelled turtle), 1352 nucleotides. NCBI's taxonomy places the organism in Eukaryota, Metazoa, Chordata, Testudines, Trionychidae. The record is from RefSeq and is a predicted model, not a curated record.
GGCGGGGUCAGAAUUAAGGAAUCACUGAUAGGAAGACUGCUCAGCCUAUAGCUGCAUCACUUCUGUCUUGCUGUCUGCCUGAGGUUGGCCGUGCUCCCAGGAAGAAGAAUUUUGCAUUGACGUAGCAUCUCUUGGAGGCAACGUUUCAUUUUGGCUAUUCCAGGAAAUUAAGGAGGACGUAGGAGGUAGCAGGAGACUAGAGUUACUAGAAGAUUGUUGUGUACAUUUUGGCUGAUACAAGUGGCAUGUAGACACAAUAUUUUUGUUCCUAGAAUCAUGGAUUAAGGAUGCUAGCAGCCCGAGCACUGAUUCUGGUGGAAAAGGCAUGCUAAGGAGGCCCUCUUGGUCUUUUCAAGUCUUCAGUGGAUCCAUGUGGUAUAACCCUUGUCUCCAGCGGCGGAUUUAGGGCAGGGCGAGUGGGGCAGCUGCCCCGGGACCCGCGCUUCCUGAUGCCCCGCACAUGCGCCUUGGCACCACGCCGCAUGCGCUGUGUCAAAGGGGGGGCCCCGCGAAAUUUUGCUGCCCGGGGCCCCGCGGUGCUGCCCUGGGCCCCGCGGCACUCUCAUCCUCCCCUGCUUGUCUCCUUUCUCUUCCCUGGAUGGUGCAUUUCAUCAUCAGCUGCCCUGGCCCUGUUUAUAUCCUGGAAUGAUCCUUGCCACUCGGCCAGCAGUUUUGACUUCAAGUUUGGCAGCAACAACAAAUCCGCUCAGUGGGUCAGCCAAUCAGCAUCUAGAUACUGAGAAGUGGGAGGCUGAGAGGUCUCAGCAGAUGUCCCAAAGGAUGGCCCAUGUCAGCACUAGAAGGGAUCAGCCUUAGAGCAAUUCCAGUCCCACUUCUUUGGGACAGCCUCCUACAAAGACAUAAGAGGUAGGUAGGGUGCGUGUGUGUGUCUGUGUACCUCUGUCCUGCCUGGCUUAUGUCAGAGUCUGUGUGUGUGUGUGUGUGUGUGUGUGUGUGUACUUCUGGCUGAAGUCAGGGUCUCUCUGUGAGGUCACCACCACCACACCACUGUCCUCCAAUAGGCUGAGGUCCCGCAACAGGCCUUUUAUGAUGUCACUGCCACACUCAACCUCCUCUGCAAGGCUGAUGUCCUGCCCCCAGCCAGCUCCUUUGGGCACAUCACCUGUUAGGGUUGCCAGGUGUCCGGUUUUGAACUGGACAGUUCAGUAUUUAAGCUUUCUGGUCAGGAAACAAAUCGAGAGAAUAUAAAUGAGAAAAUAUAAAUGUCCAGUAUUUUCUAAAUAAGAUGUAAUGUAGAUUGUCAUAUAAUGUCAAGUGUGUCUGGUAUUUUUGUUGAAACCAUCUGGCAACAACCCUAUAGACUGCUCAGAAUAAAGUGCUCUCAUAUGAGC